CGGGCGGCCGUGACCCUGCUGGAGUCUGGGGGGGACCUCCAGCCCCCCGGGGGUCCCCUGCGCCUCCUCUGCCGCGCCUCUGGAUUUGAUUUCGGGAAAUUUGGGAUGGGAUGGAUCCGCCAGAAACCCGGGAAGGCGCUGGAAUGGGUUGCGAGCAUCAGCAGAUCCAGUGGCAAGACCACCAAAUACGCGCCAUCCGUGCGUGGCCGGUUCACCAUCAGCAGGGACAACGGGCAGAGCUCGGUGACGCUGAGCAUGAACAACCUCCAGGACGAGGAUUCCGGGGUUUAUUUCUGCGGCAAAGAUGCUGAUAGUUGUUGUUAUGGUGUUGCUGAUGGUGGAUUUUGA
Non-coding RNA from Poecile atricapillus (Black-capped chickadee), 348 nucleotides. The record is from the annotation of a RefSeq genome assembly. NCBI's taxonomy places the organism in Eukaryota, Metazoa, Chordata, Aves, Passeriformes, Paridae.